GUGAACGCUGGCGGUAGGCCUAACACAUGCAAGUCGAACGGCAGCACAGUAAGAGCUUGCUCUUACGGGUGGCGAGUGGCGGACGGGUGAGGAAUACAUCGGAAUCUACUUUUUCGUGGGGGAUAACGUAGGGAAACUUACGCUAAUACCGCAUACGACCUACGGGUGAAAGCAGGGGAUCUUCGGACCUUGCGCGAUUGAAUGAGCCGAUGUCGGAUUAGCUAGUUGGCGGGGUAAAGGCCCACCAAGGCGACGAUCCGUAGCUGGUCUGAGAGGAUGAUCAGCCACACUGGAACUGAGACACGGUCCAGACUCCUACGGGAGGCAGCAGUGGGGAAUAUUGGACAAUGGGCGCAAGCCUGAUCCAGCCAUACCGCGUGGGUGAAGAAGGCCUUCGGGUUGUAAAGCCCUUUUGUUGGGAAAGAAAAGCAGCAGGUUAAUACCCCGCUGUUCUGACGGUACCCAAAGAAUAAGCCCCGGCUAACUUCGUG
This 491-nucleotide ribosomal RNA is filed under the name uncultured bacterium. RNAcentral's name for it is "partial 16S ribosomal RNA". It matches the Rfam family "Bacterial small subunit ribosomal RNA", at positions 29 to 507 of the family's 1533-position model. The record is from RNAcentral.